Molecule: ribosomal RNA, 330 nt
Filed under: uncultured Lachnospiraceae bacterium
Lineage: Bacteria; Bacillati; Bacillota; Clostridia; Lachnospirales; Lachnospiraceae
Description: partial 16S ribosomal RNA
Source: RNAcentral
GGAGUUUGGACCGUGUCUCAGUUCCAAUGUGGGGGACCUUCCUCUCAGAUCGGCUACCAAUCGUCGCCUUGGUGGGCCGUUACCUCACCAACUAGCUAAUUGGACGCGGGCCCAUCCCAUACCACCGGAGUUUUUCACACCGUACCAUGCGACACUGUGCGCUUAUGCGGUAUUGUCAGUCGUUUCCAACUGUUAUCCCCCUGUAUGGGGCAGGUUGCCCACGCGUUACUCACCCGUCCGCCACUCGGUUUUAAAUCGUCAUCCCCGAAGGAAAUCGUAAUAAAAACCUCGUUCGACUUGCAUGUGUUAAGCACGCCGCCAGCGUUCAUC